AGCUGGGGUCACACAUUCACGAUUUUUACUACCCUCCUUGACAGGACCAUUCCCGAUUAAAAGUUAUUAAAAGUCUGAUCAAGAUCCUGUGAAUCGUGGAUGGAAAUUCAAACUUUAAUUAAAAUUUGUAAAAAAAAAAUAAUUUGAUCAUGACAACAAUCAGAUAGUGUUCAGGAAGCGUCGAUAUUCAACCUUUUCCAAGGGAAUAUGUCCCGAUAACCCCGUUCUGAAUCCGCUUCUAAUCCGAUUCGUAUUUUUCGCCUGGUAAAAUUCGACAGAGUCUGUCACGACUGCGUCUCGACUCUACCGAAU
Molecule: long non-coding RNA, 312 nt
Filed under: Mytilus galloprovincialis (Mediterranean mussel)
Lineage: Eukaryota; Metazoa; Mollusca; Bivalvia; Mytilida; Mytilidae
Source: RNAcentral